This 472-nucleotide ribosomal RNA is filed under the name uncultured bacterium. RNAcentral's name for it is "bacterial SSU rRNA". It matches the Rfam family "Bacterial small subunit ribosomal RNA", at positions 335 to 799 of the family's 1533-position model. The record is from RNAcentral.
ACUCCUACGGGAGGCAGCAGUGGGGAAUAUUGCACAAUGGGCGCAAGCCUGAUGCAGCCAUGCCGCGUGUAUGAAGAAGGCCUUCGGGUUGUAAAGUACUUUCAGCAGUGAGGAAGGUGGGUAUGUUAAUAGCAUACUCAUUUGACGUUAGCUGCAGAAGAAGCACCGGCUAACUCCGUGCCAGCAGCCGCGGUAAUACGGAGGGUGCGAGCGUUAAUCGGAAUUACUGGGCGUAAAGCGCAUGCAGGUGGUUUGUUAAGUCAGAUGUGAAAGCCCGGGGCUCAACCUCGGAAUUGCAUUUGAAACUGGCAAACUAGAGUACUGUAGAGGGGGGUAGAAUUUCAGGUGUAGCGGUGAAAUGCGUAGAGAUCUGAAGGAUACCGGUGGCGAAGGCGGCCCCCUGGACAGAUACUGACACUCAGAUGCGAAAGCGUGGGGAGCAAACAGGAUUAGAUACCCCUGGUAGGCGUAG